RNAcentral lists this long non-coding RNA (698 nucleotides) under Mus musculus (house mouse). RNAcentral's name for it is "predicted gene 20610". The record is from RNAcentral. Lineage: Eukaryota; Metazoa; Chordata; Mammalia; Rodentia; Muridae.
GGAACACACCUUUAAUCUGGGCUACACCUUCUGCUGGAGACAAUAUAAGGACAUUGGAAGAAGGGAGUCUAGCUCUUGCUCUUGCUCCUUCGCCUGCUUGCUGCGUGAGACUGAGUAACUGCUAGAUCCUUGGACUUCCAUUCACAGCUGCGACUGAACAAUUGUUGGGAAUUGGGCUGCUGACUUAGGGAAGGCUUUGGAGGCUUGAAGUGGCUUGAUCCACCGUGGAAAGAACCUUGUACAAGGAGAGCAGCCUAGAGAACCAGGUGCUGAGGCCCUAUCGGUGAAGGCACCACAUGCGCGGUUUGCAGAAGGCUGAGAAAUAAGGCUCAGGCUGGGCUAAAAGUGUCUCCCCACUUCAAGCCGGCUCCCAUGGUGCCUGUCAGAAGUUGCUAUGAAGGUUGCUGGAUCCGCCACGCUUCAAGAUGGAAGUACCAGGAAAGAUGCACCAGCCUGUGUAAUGGUGAUGCGCGUAUGUGCGUGUGUGUUACUCAUUUAUAGAUAGAAUCAACUUUUCGAUUGGACUCAGGGAGAGCCACAUCAGGUGCUGGGGCCUUAGACAAAACCCUGUGACCAGGGAAGUCAUAGGCCCCAGCAGGGACACAACCGCCACAGCUGUAUUAAGUGAUGUGGCGGCUAAGAUGCUCCCCUCUGCGAUUGUGUUUGCUAUUAUAACGCUAUUAUAAUGGCUGUUUAUC